Molecule: ribosomal RNA, 404 nt
Filed under: Actinomycetes bacterium
Lineage: Bacteria; Bacillati; Actinomycetota; Actinomycetes
Description: Actinobacteria bacterium partial 16S ribosomal RNA
Rfam family: Bacterial small subunit ribosomal RNA
Source: RNAcentral
UGGGGAAUAUUGGACAAUGGGCGCAAGCCUGAUCCAGCCAUGCCGCGUGAGUGAUGAAGGCCCUAGGGUUGUAAAGCUCUUUCACCGGUGAAGAUAAUGACGGUAACCGGAGAAGAAGCCCCGGCUAACUUCGUGCCAGCAGCCGCGGUAAUACGAAGGGGGCUAGCGUUGUUCGGAUUUACUGGGCGUAAAGCGCACGUAGGCGGACUAUUAAGUCAGGGGUGAAAUCCCGGGGCUCAACCCCGGAACUGCCUUUGAUACUGGUAGUCUUGAGUUCGAGAGAGGUGAGUGGAAUUCCGAGUGUAGAGGUGAAAUUCGUAGAUAUUCGUAGGAACACCAGUGGCGAAGGCGGCUCACUGGCUCGAUACUGACGCUGAGGUGCGAAAGCGUGGGGAGCAAACAGG